Molecule: transfer RNA, 72 nt
Filed under: Bos taurus (domestic cattle)
Lineage: Eukaryota; Metazoa; Chordata; Mammalia; Artiodactyla; Bovidae
Also listed under: 5 other names
Rfam family: tRNA
About the family: Transfer RNA (tRNA) molecules are approximately 80 nucleotides in length. Their secondary structure includes four short double-helical elements and three loops (D, anti-codon, and T loops). Further hydrogen bonds mediate the characteristic L-shaped molecular structure. tRNAs have two regions of fundamental functional importance: the anti-codon, which is responsible for specific mRNA codon recognition, and the 3' end, to which the tRNAs corresponding amino acid is attached (by aminoacyl-tRNA synthetases). tRNAs cope with the degeneracy of the genetic code in two manners: having more than one tRNA (with a specific anti-codon) for a particular amino acid; and 'wobble' base-pairing, i.e. permitting non-standard base-pairing at the 3rd anti-codon position.
Source: Rfam by way of RNAcentral
CCCCUGGCGGUCCAGUAGUUAGGACUUGGCACUUUUACUGCCAUGGCCCAGGUUCGAUCCCUGACUAGGGAA